This 253-nucleotide ribosomal RNA is filed under the name uncultured bacterium. Its description in RNAcentral is "partial 16S ribosomal RNA". It matches the Rfam family "Bacterial small subunit ribosomal RNA", at positions 524 to 776 of the family's 1533-position model. The record is from RNAcentral.
UACAGAGGGUGCAAGCGUUCUCCGGAAUUACUGGGCGUAAAGCGUGCGUAGGCGGUCAUGUAAGUCGGGUGUGAAAGCCCCGGGCUCAACCUGGGAAUUGCAUUCGAGACUGCAUGGCUAGGAUGCGGAAGAGGCGAGUGGGAUUCCUGGUGUAGCGGUGAAAUGCGCAGAUAUCAGGAGGAACACCUAUUGCGAAGGCAGCUCGCUGGGACGUUACUGACGCUGAGACGCGAAAGCGUGGGGAGCAAACAGG